Non-coding RNA from Salmo salar (Atlantic salmon), 54 nucleotides. NCBI's taxonomy places the organism in Eukaryota, Metazoa, Chordata, Actinopteri, Salmoniformes, Salmonidae. The record is from Rfam.
UGCAUUCACUACUGUAAGUCGCUCUGUAUAAGAGCGUCUACUAAAUGACUAAAA